Molecule: long non-coding RNA, 739 nt
Organism: Balaenoptera ricei (Rice's whale)
Lineage: Eukaryota; Metazoa; Chordata; Mammalia; Artiodactyla; Balaenopteridae
Exons: 2
Source: RefSeq, a predicted model, not a curated record
UGCCGGACUGGCCCGCGGCAGACUGGUGCCCAGGGGGCGAGGGUGAGGCGAGGAGCGCAGACGCCCUGCGAGCUGAGCUCCGCGAGCGGCUCACCCGCUGGCCCGGGGACAAGUCACCACGCAGCGGGUCGCAAAGGGGACCUUGUCUGGGGUGCGUCCGGCCAGGGGACCCCUCGAGGAGGCGGCCGGGGCUCCCGGGCCGAGCGAGCGCAGGAGGGGCGGCGGGUGGCAGCGGAACCUGAGAGCUGAGAGCAAGGGAGACAGAGCUGAAGAGUUACUAUGUCAACCGAGACUCUCCAGCCCUCGGCUCCCGCCUUCUUCCCCCGCAUCCUCCGUCAUGAUUCCACCUUUAAAGAGAUCGGAACGACGUUCCAGAAAGCAGCCAAAGCCUGUCGUGUAGCCACAACUUUCAGGGCCAAGAUGAACCUAAAUGACCCUACUGGAAGUCCAAAUACCUUGAGACCUUCAUGCUGUGAAGAACACAGACCACGUGGAAAGGCUAGAGGCAGGUAUUCUGGCUGAAAGUCCCAGCUGACAACCAGCACCAACAGCCAGACAUAUGCAUGGAGACAGCCAUGAUUUCAGUCCUGAGCCUUGAAGUGACUCCCAGCCAUCAAGUUUUACCAACUGAGGCCCCAGACUUUGUGGAACAGAGACAAGCUAUUCCUGAUGUACCCUGUGGGAAUACCUGACCCACAGAAUCUGUAAAUGUAAUAAAAUGGUGAUUUCAUGCUACUAA